GAUGAACGCUGGCGGCGUGCUUAACACAUGCAAGUCGAACGGUGAAGGCGGAGCUUGCUCUGCUGGAUCAGUGGCGAACGGGUGAGUAACACGUGAGCAAUCUGCCCCUGACUCUGGGAUAAGCGCUGGAAACGGCGUCUAAUACUGGAUACGAGCGGCGAAGGCAUCUUCAGCAGCUGGAAAGAAUUUCGGUCAGGGAUGAGCUCGCGGCCUAUCAGCUUGUUGGUGAGGUAAUGGCUCACCAAGGCGUCGACGGGUAGCCGGCCUGAGAGGGUGACCGGCCACACUGGGACUGAGACACGGCCCAGACUCCUACGGGAGGCAGCAGUGGGGAAUAUUGCACAAUGGGCGAAAGCCUGAUGCAGCAACGCCGCGUGAGGGACGACGGCCUUCGGGUUGUAAACCUCUUUUAGCAGGGAAGAAGCGAAAGUGACGGUACCUGCAGAAAAAGCGCCGGCUAACUACGUG
Molecule: ribosomal RNA, 468 nt
Filed under: uncultured bacterium
Lineage: Bacteria
Description: partial 16S ribosomal RNA
Rfam family: Bacterial small subunit ribosomal RNA
Source: RNAcentral